CUCAUGCCUCCGGCAUAUUCUCUCUCACACGCAGGCAGGAACACUUCCAUAAAGAAGACUAGAAUGACAGAGACAAACACCACUCUCACCACCACAUGAUCAGGAAGGAAAAUGGCCCUGUUAUCCUACAACAAUGGGUAAACAAAAAAUGGGCAGAAUCUACCCAUCCCCUCUCCAAAGUGACAGGCCUUGGUCAUCACACAGAAUGGAUACCACCCAGAAUUUCAUAGCUAAUGAAUAUCUUCUUUGGAAACCAUAG
Molecule: long non-coding RNA, 259 nt
Filed under: Monodelphis domestica (gray short-tailed opossum)
Lineage: Eukaryota; Metazoa; Chordata; Mammalia; Didelphimorphia; Didelphidae
Description: lncRNA (ENSMODG00000034564.2)
Source: RNAcentral